GGGUUCAUAGCUUAACGGUAAAGCGCACAAGACAAAUACAGAAACGGGGAUGUUAUGCCUAGCAUUUAACGACCUCAGACAUUGAAAAAAAAAUACAAUGUCACUGUAAAAAAUUGUGAGAUGAUGGUUCGAAUCCAUCUGAAUCCA
Non-coding RNA from Hyaloscypha bicolor E, 147 nucleotides. The record is from the annotation of a RefSeq genome assembly. Lineage: Eukaryota; Fungi; Ascomycota; Leotiomycetes; Helotiales; Hyaloscyphaceae.